Molecule: ribosomal RNA, 2921 nt
Filed under: Lactiplantibacillus plantarum
Lineage: Bacteria; Bacillati; Bacillota; Bacilli; Lactobacillales; Lactobacillaceae
Description: 23S ribosomal RNA
Rfam family: Bacterial large subunit ribosomal RNA
Source: RNAcentral
GGUUAAGUUAACAAGGGCGCAUGGUGAAUGCCUUGGCACUAGGAGCCGAUGAAGGACGGGACUAACACCGAUAUGCUUCGGGGAGCUGUACGUAAGCUAUGAUCCGGAGAUUUCCGAAUGGGGCAACCCAGCAGUUUUAAUCAACUGUUACCACUAGAUGAAUUCAUAGUCUAGUUGGAGGUAAACGCUGUGAACUGAAACAUCUCAUUAGCAGCAGGAAUAUAAAGAAAUUUCGAUUCCCUAAGUAGCGGCGAGCGAACGGGGAACAGCCCAAACCAAAGUGCUUGCACUUUGGGGUUGUAGGACUGAACAUUUGAGUUACCAAAGAACUUGAUAGUCGAAGGAUUUGGGAAAAUCCGCCAUAGAUGGUGAUAGCCCAGUAGAUUAAAUCAAAUUCUCUCAGUUCAGGAUCCUGAGUACGGCGGAACACGUGAAAUUCCGUCGGAAUCCGGGAGGACCAUCUCCCAAGGCUAAAUACUACCUAGUGACCGAUAGUGAACCAGUACCGUGAGGGAAAGGUGAAAAGCACCCCGGGAGGGGAGUGAAAUAGUUCCUGAAACCAUGUGCCUACAAUAAGUCAGAGCGCGUUAAUGCGUGAUGGCGUGCCUUUUGUAGAAUGAACCGGCGAGUUAUGAUCCCGUGCAAGGUUAAGACUAAAAAGUCGGAGCCGUAGCGAAAGCGAGUCUGAAAUGGGCGUUUUGAGUACGAGGUUAUAGACCCGAAACCAGGUGACCUAUCCAUGUCCAGGUUGAAGGUGCGGUAAAACGCACUGGAGGACCGAACCCGUGUAAGUUGAAAAUUGCUGGGAUGAGGUGUGGAUAGCGGUGAAAUUCCAAACGAACUUGGAGAUAGCUGGUUCUCUCCGAAAUAGCUUUAGGGCUAGCCUCGGAAUUAGGAUCAUGGAGGUAGAGCACUAUUUGGACUAGGGGCCCGUCUUGGGUUACUGAAUUCAGAUAAACUCCGAAUGCCAUUGAUUCAUAUCCGGGAGUCAGACGAUGAGUGAUAAGAUCCACCGUCGAAAGGGGAACAGCCCAGACCAUCAGUUAAGGUCCCUAAAUGUAUGCUAAGUGGAAAAGGAUGUGGAGUUGCAUAGACAACUAGGAUGUUGGCUCAGAAGCAGCCACCAUUUAAAGAGUGCGUAAUAGCUCACUAGUCGAGUGAUCCUGCGCCGAAAAUGUACCGGGGCUAAGCAUAUUACCGAAACCAUGGAUGCGACCAUUAGGUCGCGUGAUAGGAGAGCGUUCUAAGGGCGGUGAAGCAAGAUCGUGAGGACUUGUGGAGCGCUUAGAAGUGAGAAUGCCGGUAUGAGUAGCGAAAGAUAGGUGAGAAUCCUAUCCACCGAAUGACUAAGGUUUCCUGGGGAAGGCUCGUCCUCCCAGGGUUAGUCGGGACCUAAGUCGAGGCCGAGAGGUGUAGACGAUGGAUAACAGGUUGAGAUUCCUGUACUAGUUAAGUGCGUUUGAGCAAUGGAGGGACGCAGGAGGCUAAGAUGUGCAUUCUGUUGGAUUAGAAUGUCCAAGCAGUAAGUCUUGUGAAGAGUCAAAUGCUUUUCACUUUAAGGACAAGCUGUGAUGGGGAGCGAAAUUUAGUAGCGAAGCGUCUGAUGUCACACUGCCGAGAAAAGCUUCUAGUGAGUACUUAACUACCCGUACCGCAAACCGACACAGGUAGUCGAGGAGAGAAUCCUAAGGUGAGCGAGUGAACUCUCGUUAAGGAACUCGGCAAAAUGACCCCGUAACUUCGGGAGAAGGGGUGCUGAUCGCAAGAUCAGCCGCAGUGAAUAGGCCCAGGCGACUGUUUAUCAAAAACACAGGUCUCUGCAAAAUCGUAAGAUGACGUAUAGGGGCUGACGCCUGCCCGGUGCUGGAAGGUUAAAAGGAUGGGUUAGCUUCGGCGAAGCUCAGAAUUGAAGCCCCAGUAAACGGCGGCCGUAACUAUAACGGUCCUAAGGUAGCGAAAUUCCUUGUCGGGUAAGUUCCGACCCGCACGAAAGGCGUAACGAUCUGGGCACUGUCUCAACGAGAGACUCGGUGAAAUUAUAUUGUCCGUGAAGAUGCGGACUACCCGCGACAGGACGGAAAGACCCCAUGGAGCUUUACUGUAGCUUGAUAUUGAGUGUUUGUACAGCUUGUACAGGAUAGGUAGGAGCCAUAGAAACCGGAACGCUAGUUUCGGUGGAGGCGUUGGUGGGAUACUACCCUCGCUGUAUGACCACUCUAACCCGCACCACUAAUCGUGGUGGGAGACAGUGUCAGGUGGGCAGUUUGACUGGGGCGGUCGCCUCCUAAAAAGUAACGGAGGCGCCCAAAGGUUCCCUCAGAAUGGUUGGAAAUCAUUCGCAGAGUGUAAAGGCACAAGGGAGCUUGACUGCGAGACAGACAGGUCGAGCAGGGACGAAAGUCGGGCUUAGUGAUCCGGUGGUACCGUAUGGAAGGGCCAUCGCUCAACGGAUAAAAGCUACCCUGGGGAUAACAGGCUUAUCUCCCCCAAGAGUCCACAUCGACGGGGAGGUUUGGCACCUCGAUGUCGGCUCAUCGCAUCCUGGGGCUGUAGUCGGUCCCAAGGGUUGGGCUGUUCGCCCAUUAAAGCGGUACGCGAGCUGGGUUCAGAACGUCGUGAGACAGUUCGGUCCCUAUCCGUCGCGGGCGUAGGAAAUUUGAGAGGACCUGUCCUUAGUACGAGAGGACCGGGAUGGACAUACCUCUGGUGUACCAGUUGUGCCGCCAGGCGCAUCGCUGGGUAGCUACGUAUGGAUGUGAUAAACGCUGAAAGCAUCUAAGUGUGAAACACACCUCGAGAUGAGAUUUCCCAUUCCUUUAUGGAAGUAAGACCCCUGAAAGAUGAUCAGGUAGAUAGGUUAGAAGUGGCAGUGCGGUGACGCAUGAAGCGGACUAAUACUAAUCGGUCGAGGACUUAACCAA